UCUGGUUGAUCCUGCCAGUAGUUAUAUGCUUGUCUCAAAGAUUAAGCCAUGCAUGUCUAAGUACACACGAAUUAAAAGUGAAACCGCAAAAGGCUCAUUAUAUCAGUUAUGGUUCCUUAGAUCGUUAACAGUUACUUGGAUAACUGUGGUAAUUCUAGAGCUAAUACAUGCAAUUAAAACAUGAACCUUAUGGGACAUGUGCUUUUAUUAGGCUAAAACCAAGCGAUCGCAAGAUCGUUAUAUUGGUUGAACUCUAGAUAACAUGCAGAUCGUAUGGUCUUGUACCGACGACAGAUCUUUCAAAUGUCUGCCCUAUCAACUUUUGAUGGUAGUAUCUAGGACUACCAUGGUUGCAACGGGUAACGGGGAAUCAGGGUUCGAUUCCGGAGAGGGAGCCUGAGAAACGGCUACCACAUCUAAGGAAGGCAGCAGGCGCGUAAAUUACCCACUCCCAGCUCGGGGAGGUAGUGACGAAAAAUAACAAUACAGGACUCAUAUCCGAGGCCCUGUAAUUGGAAUGAGUACACUUUAAAUCCUUUAACAAGGACCAAUUGGAGGGCAAGUCUGGUGCCAGCAGCCGCGGUAAUUCCAGCUCCAAUAGCGUAUAUUAAAGUUGUUGCGGUUAAAACGUUCGUAGUUGAACUUGUGCUUCAUACGGGUAGUACAACUUACAAUUGUGGUUAGUACUAUACCUUUAUGUAUGUAAGCGUAUUACCGGUGGAGUUCUUAUAUGUGAUUAAAUACUUGUAUUUUUUCAUAUGUUCCUCCUAUUUAAAAACCUGCACUAGUGCUCUUAAACGAGUGUUAUUGUGGGCCGGUACUAUUACUUUGAACAAAUUAGAGUGCUUAAAGCAGGCUUCAAAUGCCUGAAUAUUCUGUGCAUGGGAUAAUGAAAUAAGACCUCUGUUCUGCUUUCAUUGGUUUUCAGAUCAAGAGGUAAUGAUUAAUAGAAGCAGUUUGGGGGCAUUAGUAUUACGACGCGAGAGGUGAAAUUCUUGGACCGUCGUAAGACUAACUUAAGCGAAAGCAUUUGCCAAAGAUGUUUUCAUUAAUCAAGA
Molecule: ribosomal RNA, 1058 nt
Filed under: Drosophila simulans
Lineage: Eukaryota; Metazoa; Arthropoda; Insecta; Diptera; Drosophilidae
Description: SSU rRNA
Rfam family: Eukaryotic small subunit ribosomal RNA
Source: RNAcentral